GUCUAUAUAUACCCUGUAGAACCGAAUUUGUGUGGUGUUUACGUAGUCACAGAUUCGAUUCUAGGGGAAUAUAUGGU
Laticauda laticaudata (blue-ringed sea krait) is the source of this 77-nucleotide microRNA precursor. Ensembl annotates it as microRNA 10b. Lineage: Eukaryota; Metazoa; Chordata; Lepidosauria; Squamata; Elapidae. The record is from Ensembl.